GAGGAUAUAGCUCAGUGGUAGAGUGUUUGUUUAACAUAAACAAUACCUUGGGUUCCAUCCCCAGUGUUGUCA
Molecule: transfer RNA, 72 nt
Filed under: Fukomys damarensis (Damara mole-rat)
Lineage: Eukaryota; Metazoa; Chordata; Mammalia; Rodentia; Bathyergidae
Rfam family: tRNA
About the family: Transfer RNA (tRNA) molecules are approximately 80 nucleotides in length. Their secondary structure includes four short double-helical elements and three loops (D, anti-codon, and T loops).
Source: Rfam by way of RNAcentral